This 506-nucleotide ribosomal RNA is filed under the name uncultured bacterium. RNAcentral describes it as "partial 16S ribosomal RNA". It matches the Rfam family "Bacterial small subunit ribosomal RNA", at positions 29 to 523 of the family's 1533-position model. The record is from RNAcentral.
AGUGAACGCUGGCGGUAGGCCUAACACAUGCAAGUCGAACGGCAGCACAGGAGAGCUUGCUCUCUGGGUGGCGAGUGGCGGACGGGUGAGGAAUACAUCGGAAUCUACUCUGUCGUGGGGGAUAACGUAGGGAAACUUACGCUAAUACCGCCUACGACCUACGGGGGAAAGCAGGGGACCUUCGGCCCUUGCGCGAUGGAAUGAGCCGAUGUCGGAUUAGCUAGUUGGCGGGGUAAAGGCCCACCAAGGCGCCGAUCCGUAGCUGGUCGGAGAGGAUGAUCAGCCACACUGGAACUGAGACACGGUCCAGACUCCUACGGGAGGCAGCAGUGGGGAAUAUUGGACAAUGGGCGCAAGCCUGAUCCAGCCAUACCGCGUGGGUGAAGAAGGCCUUCGGGUUGUAAAGCCCUUUUGUUGGGAAAGAAAUCCAGCUGGCUAAUACCCGGUUGGGAUGACGGUACCCAAAGAAUAAGCACCGGCUAACUUCGUGCCAGCCGCCGCGGUAA